ACACCAUGGUUGUCUCUGGAAAUCACAGCCUGCACAUUCCGCUGUCCCCAGGCGACAUUGCUUCCUGUCACUUUGAUAGAGUGUGUGAUGCAGAUAGAGAAGAAGCGGGAGGCAGAGGGGGGCAGAGAGGAGAUGCCUACAGCACUGCUCGCCACUCCUGAAUCUACCUCCCUGCAGUUCCUCUUGUGCGUUGCUCUUGAGCUGUCUAUCCUGUAUGGCGGGGCCCCACAGGAACCUGAGGCCCCAUGUGCCACUGUCUGAAGACCACUGCCCACAUCCUGCCACCCCUGUCUCUGCACUGUCAAUGGCCGGUAGCCUGCAACUUGAGGAAUGUUGGCAGCAUCCUUACUUCCACAAGCCAGCGACCAGCUGAAGCCAGUCAUGACUCCGGCCUCUCCGCUACCCUUGAUUCCCUUUGACUCAGAAAGCACCUUCACUGGCACCGUGAGGGCUGCUGUGAGACCCUCCCACACAGAGGUUUCUUAUGGCCAGUCUGACCACCUCUAGUCAGCGCUCCAGACCACCAGAGACCAAGGCAUUACCUUGGAUCUUGCUCCUGAUUGCUUGCCCCUUUGAAAGCCCAUGGCUGUCCCCGAGGGUAUUUUUGACCAGCCUCUCCGACACCCACUUAACCCUCUCAUCAUGGCAGACAGUCACACAAGCUCCUGGCCUGGCUGGCAGGCCCCGCAGAGGCUCACCACACAGGAUCCCCAGGGUCAGAGACCUUUUUCUGGCAUCUUCUCUAAGGAAUGAGCCCCACCGUGUACUCCAGAGUUAGAUUCCUGUCUUUAGCUUCGGCUUGGAUCCUCACAUCUUGGAUACUCACUACACC
This is a long non-coding RNA of Erinaceus europaeus (western European hedgehog), 832 nucleotides long. RefSeq lists it as uncharacterized. NCBI's taxonomy places the organism in Eukaryota, Metazoa, Chordata, Mammalia, Eulipotyphla, Erinaceidae. The record is from RefSeq and is a predicted model, not a curated record. The transcript is spliced from 4 exons.